RNAcentral lists this ribosomal RNA (210 nucleotides) under Conura debilis. RNAcentral's name for it is "partial 28S ribosomal RNA". It matches the Rfam family "Eukaryotic large subunit ribosomal RNA", at positions 967 to 1163 of the family's 3401-position model. RNAcentral also lists the same sequence under 2 other names. Lineage: Eukaryota; Metazoa; Arthropoda; Insecta; Hymenoptera; Chalcididae. The record is from RNAcentral.
UUUCCCUCAGGAUAGCUGGCACUCGCUUGAGCGAGUCUCAUCUGGUAAAGCGAAUGAUUAGAGGCCUUGGGGCCGAAACGACCUCAACCUAUUCUCAAACUUUAAAUGGGUGAGAUCUCUGGCUUGCUUGAACGUUGAAGCCACGAGAUAUUUGAAUGGAUCAGAGUGCCAAGUGGGCCAAUUUUGGUAAGCAGAACUGGCGCUGUGGGA